Molecule: non-coding RNA, 19 nt
Filed under: Cricetulus griseus (Chinese hamster)
Lineage: Eukaryota; Metazoa; Chordata; Mammalia; Rodentia; Cricetidae
Also listed under: 1 other name
Gene: cgr-miR-147
Source: miRBase by way of RNAcentral
GUGUGCGGAAAUGCUUCUG